UAACCUGGACUCAGGUUAUGGGUAUU
Molecule: non-coding RNA, 26 nt
Filed under: Rattus norvegicus (Norway rat)
Lineage: Eukaryota; Metazoa; Chordata; Mammalia; Rodentia; Muridae
Source: RNAcentral